Non-coding RNA from Odocoileus virginianus texanus, 1305 nucleotides. Lineage: Eukaryota; Metazoa; Chordata; Mammalia; Artiodactyla; Cervidae. The record is from RefSeq and is a predicted model, not a curated record.
UCCCUGGUCUCACGUUGCUGGGAGGAGCCGCUCCGUGUGAUCUGGAUUUGCACGCGUCCAAUGGCCUUGCUCUCUAGAGCUGGAUAGACUUUGGAGAAAAGUCUGUCCAUGUCCUCUGUCCAUUUUCUAAUUGAGCUGCUGCUUUUUAUUGUUGAGUUAGGAGUUUUCAUAUAUUCUGUAUGUUAUAUAUAUGUAUUCUGUAUAAUAGGCCCUUUAUUAGAUAGGUGACUCACAAAUAUCUUUAUUCAUUGUGUAGGUUGUCUUUUCAUUUUCUUGAUGGGGUCAUUUGAAGCACAGAAGCUUUUCAUUUUGAUAAAGUCUACUUCAUCAAUUUUUUUCUGUUGCUACUGCUUUUUUUUCCUUAGUCGCACUGUGCAGCAUGUGGGAUCUUAGUUCCCCAACCAGGGAUGGAACCUGUGCCCCCUACAGGGGAAGCGUGCAGUCCUAACCGCAGGGCCACAGGGAAGCACCCUGUCGCUCAGGCAUCCGCUUCAGCAAGGCGUGCUCCUAGAAGCCUCAGGAGUCCCUGCCUGGCACACGUCUGACCUCUCCUUUCCUCACACUCAGGGCCAGGUGCGUGGUGUGCUCUGCUGCGGCUCGGCUCUUCUCCUGGGCCUCCUGGCUCCCUUCCUGUUCCUGCUCAUCUCACUGUGGCAGGGUCUCCCAGGCGGCUGGGAGGGGAGUUGGGAAGUGGAAGUGUUAGGAGUGUGCAUGCAAGCCGUGAUGCGCCAACCUGGGUGCCACCUACCCAGGCGGAGUAGUCUUCUCCCCUGCUGAUCAGACAGACCAGAGCACUUACAACAGGGAGCCAGCUUCACUCAUUUGUUCUCCAAGGCUCUUUGGUGCCCUGGGGUGUUUGGGUUUUCUGUCUUGCAGCAUUGGACAUGGAGAAGCUGGAGACCCUGAUGGCCCUGGAAUGAGCAGAAAUAACAGCCAAAUAUGAGCAAGUGAGGCCUGGCAGGGGUCAGAGCCCAGGACAGGCAGGGCCAGUCAGGGGCUCCAGUGGAACACGGGGAAGAUGCUGACCUCUCGCUGCAGGAAGUCACCACACCUAUACUGAGGAGCUGCCUAGCUUCAGCACUCAGGACCUCAGCAUCCGCUCGGCAAAGGGUCUGACAGGGCGGUGUCAGGACCGUGGGGCUCCGCACUCCUCCUGGGCUCUUUUAGGUCAGAGUGAUGGGAGCCUGAGCCCUCAGCAGCCGUCCAGUCCUCGUGGACCCCGAGCCAGGCGAGUGCCGAAGGACGCGAGGAGCGGGAGAUGACCGGGGGGAAGAAAGCGAGCCCCUGCCGAGGUCCACCCGCCUG